UACGUAGGGUGCAAGCGUUGUCCGGAAUUAUUGGGCGUAAAGAGCUCGUAGGCGGUUUGUCGCGUCUGCUGUGAAAACUCGGGGCUUAACUCCGGGCCUGCAGUGGGUACGGGCAGACUAGAGUGCGGUAGGGGAGACUGGAAUUCCUGGUGUAGCGGUGAAAUGCGCAGAUAUCAGGAGGAACACCGGUGGCGAAGGCGGGUCUCUGGGCCGUAACUGACGCUGAGGAGCGAAAGCGUGGGGAGCGAAUAGG
This 253-nucleotide ribosomal RNA is filed under the name uncultured bacterium. Its description in RNAcentral is "partial 16S ribosomal RNA". It matches the Rfam family "Bacterial small subunit ribosomal RNA", at positions 524 to 776 of the family's 1533-position model. The record is from RNAcentral.